Salvelinus fontinalis (brook trout) is the source of this 6384-nucleotide long non-coding RNA. RefSeq lists it as uncharacterized. Lineage: Eukaryota; Metazoa; Chordata; Actinopteri; Salmoniformes; Salmonidae. The record is from RefSeq and is a predicted model, not a curated record. The transcript has 2 exons.
UGGUGAGAUCGUAAAGUCGUCUAGCCUGCAUUUGCUCCACUCUGUAAAUCCUACCGGUUUCUGAGAUUUAAUUCCUUAAACUACCAUACACUUAAACGACAUUAGGUAGUUUAACAUUUUGACACACACAUAUACUUGUCUAAAAGGUGUUUAUUGAGAAAAAAUAGAGGUAGGCUUCCGAGGUGGGCAGGGGCGUAUUGGCAAUCUGGCAAUUCUGGCAAAUGCCAGAUUGGCUGGACCAUUUUUUUGUUGGGGGGCUGGUCGAAAUUGACACACACAAAAAAACGAUGCAAAGGUAACAUUGCCAGUGGCCCAUGCUGCCCUACAAAGGCAAAAUGCAGCUUCCAUGUCUUCUCCCUGGACCUCCUCAAUGUCCAUCUCUUGAACAUCAGACUCUGAGGCCUCAUCUUCACUGUCACUUUCCAACCUGGUUGAGGAUGGCUCGUUGUCAGGCUCAAAAAGCCUCAAAUUUGCCCGGAUGGCCACCAACUUUUCAACUCUUGUAUUGGUCAGCCUGUUGCGUGCUUUGGUGUGUGUGUUCCCAAACAAGGACCCGUUGCGCUCUGAGGCGGCUGAUGUUGGUGGGAUUUGGAGGAUGAUGUAGGCAACAGAGGAAAGAGCCUCAGAUUCACAAAGUCCCAUCCACCAGGUGGCUGAUGAGAUAUUUUGGCACGACUGCCAUAUUGCAUCACCAUACCAAAGCCCUUGCUUGGAAGUGUACUUCGCCAGACUGCCAAGAACAUUGCCCUCAUCCAGGCCAAGGUGGCGAGACAUGGUAGUGAUGACACCGUAGGCGUUGUUGAUCUCUGCACCAGACAGGAUGCUCUUGCCAGCAUACUUGGGGUCCAACAUGUACGCUGCGGCGUGUAUGGGCUUCAGGCAGAAGUCUUCAUGCUUUUUGAUGUAUUUCAGAACUGCAGUUUCCUCUGCUUGGAGCAACAGUGAAGUGGGCAGGGCUGUAUGGAUUUCUUCUCUUACAUCUGCAAGCAGAGUCUGAACAUCAGACAGGAUGGCAUUGUCUCCCUCAAUCCGUGCAAUGGCUACUGCUAUAGGUUUCAGGAGUUUCAGGCUGCUUACCACUCUCUCCCAAAAUACAUCAUCCAGGAGCAUCCUAUUGAUGGGGCUGUCUAUAUUGGUAGACUGUGAUAUGGCCAUUUCUUGGAGAGACUCCUUCCCCUCCAGGAGACUGUCAAACUUGAUGACAACACCACCUCAACGGGUGUUGCUGGGCAGCUUCAGUGUGGUGCUCUUAUUCUUCUCACUUUGCUUGGUGAGGUAGAUUGCUGCUAUAACUUGAUGACCCUUCACAUACCUAACCAUUUCCUUGGCUCUCUUGUAGAGUGCAUCCAUUGUUUUCAGUGCCAUGAUGUCCUUGAGGAGCAGAUUAAAUGCAUGAGCAGCACAGCCAAUGGGUGUGAUGUGAGGGUAGGACUCCUCCACUUUAGACAAAGCAGCCUUCAUGUUCGCAGCAUUGUCUGUCACCAGUGCAAAUACCUUCUGUGGUCCAAGGUCAUAGAUGACUGCCUUCAGCUCAUCUGCAAUGUAGAGACUGGUGUGUCUGUUGUCCCUUUUGUCUGUGCUCUUGUAUAAUACUGGUUGAGGGGUGGAGAUGAUGUAGUUAAUUAUUCCUUGCCCACGAAUAUUCGACCACCCAUCAGAGAUGAUUGUGAUACAGUCUGCUUUCUCUGUGAUUUGCUUGACCUUCACUUGAACUCUGUUGAACUCUGCAUCCAGCAAAUUAGUAGAUAAAGCAUGUCUGGUUGUAGGGGUGUAUGCUGGGCGAAGAACAUUCAGAAAUCUCUUCCAAAACACAUUGCUUGUGAGCAUCAGAGGUGAACCAGUUGCAUACACAGCUCGAGCAAGACAUUCAUCUGCAUUUCUUUGACUACGUUCCUCCAUUGAGUCAAAAAAACUUCUGAUUCCAGGAGGACCGUGAGCUGUUGCUAUCGAUAAGGUGUCUGAUUCAUCUUGGCCAGAUGAUUCUGCAUCUUUGUUGCAUUCUUCACAUAUGAUUUGGCACAGUAUUUGUAAAUGUAGACAUCUUUUCCUUCUACAUUAGCUGCAGUGAAAUGUCUCCACACAUCAGAUGGUGCCCGUGGCAUUUUCUUGUAAAGAUUAGAAAGAAAGGAGUAAAAAAAAUAUAUAAAAAUACAAUUCCAUGUACAGAUAAAUAGUUAAGCAGUUAGAUUAAACAACUCCUUUGUUAGGAAAAUGUUUUAAAAUGAAACAUUUAUGGAAACAGGUGAAUUAACAUUCCUCAUUUAGUAGGCUCAAUCAAGCUAAAACCCACAUGGUAGCAAAAACUAACUAGCAGAAAUUGUUAACAAGUUAGAAAUUAUUUAAAUACACUUUGCUGUGGGCUACUAUUUACUAGUCAACAAAAAAUCAUGUAUGUCAUGCCACCCAGUAUUGUAAUCAAAACUUACCAGAAAGCAUGUAGGCCUUGGCUCAGACAGUGUAGUAGUGUGGGCUCAAUAGUAUCUCAUUAGUGUGCAAGAUCUUGAGAAUCAGCAGUACAUGUGAUGGAAGAAUGCACUGUGCAUGCAGAGGGUUGCAAUUGAUUGAAUUGGGGAUAGUUUAGACAAAGAAUGCCACAAGACCUAGAAUUGCCUUAUGUGUAUCCCACAAAAAAGGUUCACUGUUAUAAGCUAACUUUUUUGGAUGAAGUUAAGCAAAAUCUGCUUCCCAUGGAAAAUAUCCGACCCUUUGGAGCCCUAUGUGUGAUUGUGUGGGUAGAGUCUAAUGCCAAAUAGUCAGUGCAAAACAAUUACGAUAAAAAAUAUAUAUAAUAAAAGAAGUCAAUGUAAAUAGUUUGGGUAGCCAUUUGAUUAACUAUUCAGCAGUCUUAUGUCUUUGGGGUAGAAGCUGUUAAGGAGCCUUUUCAUCCCAGACUUUGAGCUCCAGUACCGCUUGCCAUGCAGUAGCAGAGAGAACAGUCUAUGACUUGGGUAUUUGGAGUCUUUGACAAUUUUUAGGGCCUUCCUCUGACACUGUCUGGCAUAGAGGUCCUGUAUGGCAGGGAGUUCGGCCCCAGUGAUGUACUGGGCCGUACGCACUACCCUCUGUAGCGUCUUGAGGUUGGAUGCCGAGCAGUUUCCAUACCAAGCGGUGAUGCAGCCAGUCAAUAUGUUCUAAAUGGUGCAGCUGUAGAACUUUCUGAAGAUCUGAGACCACAUGCCAAAUCUUUUAAGCCUCCUGAGGGAGAAGAGGCGUUGUUGUGCCCUCUUCAAGACUGUGUUGGUGUGUUUGGACCAUGAUAAGUCCUUAGUGUCACGUUCCUGACCUAUUUCUGUUAGUUUGUUAUAUGUGUUAGUUGGUCAGGACGUGAGUUUGGGUGGGCAUUCUAUGUUUUCUGUUUCUAUGUUGGUUUAUGGGUUGCCUGGUAUGGCUCUUAAUUAGAGGCAGGUGUUUGGCGUUCCUCUAAUUAAGAGUCAUAUUUAGGUAGGUGUUUUCACAGUGUUCGUUGUGGGUGAUUGUCUCCUGUGUUGUGUAUGUCGUUGCGCCACACGGGACUGGUUUCGGUUUGUUUGUUCAGUGUCAUUUAUGUGUAGGCUUUUUUCCCUGUUCGUGCGUUCUCGUGUGUUAUGUGAGUCCGUCGUUCAGAUCUGUCUACACCGUUUAUUUGUUUUGUUAGUGUAUAGUCGAGUUCGUGUUUUUUUUCUUUAAUAAAUCAUGUCGACAAAAUCCGCUGCAUAUUGGUUCAAUCCCUGCUCCUCCUCUUCUGAUGAAGAAAGCCGUUACACUUAGUGAUGUGGACACCCUCGACAUGCAACACUACAGCCCUGUCUAUGUGAAUGGAGGCGUGUUCGGCCCUCUGUUUCCUGUGGUCUAUGAUAAGUUAUUUUGUCUUGCCCACAUUGAGGGAGAGGUUGUUAUCCUGGCAUCACACUGCCAGGUCUCUGACCUCCUCCCUAUAGGCUGUCUCUUGGUCGUUGGUGUUCAGCCCUACCACUUAAUGAUUGCGUUGGAGUCGUGCGCGGCCACGCAGUUGUGGUUGAACAGGAAGUACAGGAGGGGACUGAGCAGGCACUUCUGAGGGACCCCCAUGUUGAGGGUCAGCAUGGCGGAUGUGUUGUUGCCUACCCUCACCACCUGAGGGUGGCCCAUCAGGAAGUCCAGGAUCCAGUUGCAGAAGGAGGUGUUCAGUCCCAGGGUCCUUAGCUUAGUGAUGAGCUUGUAGAGCAUUAUAGUGUUGAACACUGAGCUGUAGUCAAUGAACAGCGUUCUCAUGUAGGUGGCCCUUUUGUUCAGGUGGGAAAGGGCAGUGUGGAGUGCAAAAGAGAUUGCGUCAUCUAUGGAUCUGUUGGAGUGGUAUGCGAAUUGGAGUGGAUCCAGGGUUUCUGGGCUGAUGGUAUUGAUGUGCCAGCUGGUCAGCGCAUGCUCUGAGUACGUGUCCUGGUAAUCUGCCUGGCUCUGCGGGCUUGUGAAUGUUAACCUGUUUAAAGGUCUUACGCACAUUGGCUACAGAGAGCGCAGUUUUCACAUAUGUAGACACUGGUAUUGUGCUGGAGAUAAUGAAAAUGAGGUUGAAAAUUUGUCGAAUUGCCCUUUAGGCAGACAGACAGACAGACGGAGAACAAGAAGAAGAACAGAAUGACAGCAGAGAAGAUGCUGAGACACAUAGACAGCACAACAGGGAGGCAAACAAAAUGGUCUCUUCCAAAAUUUCGGCCACACUUUAUUUGGAGAGUUAGAAAUGCUCCAUCUGUAGAUGCUCUAAAGAUGGUCAUUCUAUCAACAGACUAUCUGUUGUUCAGCAACUGCUUGCUAAGGUUAAGGUUAGGGUUAGAGAUAGGGUUAGUAGAUAGUUAGUUGAAAUGUUACAGAUAGUCUGUAGAUCAUCUACAGAUGGACUAUCCAAAUAAAGUGUUACCAAAAUUAUUUUCUAGGUCUAGUUGCAGAAAACAGUCAUCAUGCUAUAAUUGGCUAAAGCAGAAACAGACUGCCACCCAGAAUAAUAUUCCUCCAUCAUUAUUAUAGAUUUGGAUAGAUUUUGUAAACUCCUCUGCCCACCCCCUGCAACAGUGAAAUACAAGAGUUCAAGUCUCUGAAAGGCCGACUAUAAUUGCAUUCUAUCAACAUCACUGGAUAUUCAGACACAUUGGUUGUCACAAAAGUCAAUUUUAUUAUUACAUUUGAAAUUAGGUCUAAAAUGUCAGCAACUGUCGAGGGGAAUGUCUGACUGAGCUAAAGUUACUCAUUGCAUUAAAAAAUAGUGAACACAUUGCAUUCUUGAAAGUUAUGGGGUAAACAAAGAUUGGCACAAAAAAUAUAUGAGCAGCUGCAACUUCAUAAGACAGUUCUUGAUAGCUGGAUCUUCUCUGGACAUCAUUAGAACUGCUGGGCUCGCUAUAACCUCUUAACCAAGGUUUAAUCUAUACAAAUACAAGGAGUAUCACUAAUCAUUAACUCUACUAAGCCUUAUCAAACAUCAGUUAACUUGUUCCUAAUUUUUGCCACUCCACAUCCACAUGUCAUUAUUAUCUUCUUUUUUUCUAUGUGAACUUUUGAACUAAUAAUUAAAGAGAAAUCUUGCGCAUUUUGGUCAUGAUUUUGAAACACAGAUUGGCCAUUGAAUGAUGUACUUCAGUGGUUCCCUACCUUUUUUGGUUACCAUACCACCAACUGAAUUUUGCUCUGCCUGGAGUAGCCCUGAAGUUCCCCCCAUCGUCUCAUGAGUCCUCUCAAGUACCCCCUAUGGACAGGCCAGGUACCCCCAGGGUUCCUAGUACUUCAUGUUUCAAUGCAUUUCACUCUCACUGUCCUUUCCUACUACAUUUGACAAAAUAAAUGUGAAUGAUUUCAGGAAAGGAUGUGCACUAUGCAUAGGCUACCUACGUUUUUGGCCAGUCAGUUUGAGCUGUUUAGCCAUGAAACUGUUUAUAUUCUGUCCACCCUUUUCAUAGGAAUCUGCCAUUAUGUAAAGUUAUUAAUACACCUGCUUGGCAUGUCUGCAUAGUUAUUUUGCUGUCGUUGGGCUCGUUGGUGUCACGCCCUGGCCUUAGUUAUCUUUGUUUUUCUUUAUUAUUUUAGUUAGGUCAGGGUGUGACAUGGGGGAUGUUUGUGUGUUUUUGUCACGUCUAGGGUGUUUGUAUUGUCUAGGGGGUGUUUGUAGAGUUCAUGGGGUUGUGUUCAGUGUAGGUGUUUAUGUAAGUCUUUGGUUGCCUGGAUUGGUUCUCAAUUAGAGACAGCUGUCUAUUGUUGUCUCUGAUUGGGAGCCAUAUUUAGGCAGCCAUAGUCAUUAGGUAGGUUGUGGGUAAUUGUCUAUGUGUAAGUUGCCAGUGUCUGCACUUAUUUGUUUUGUAUAGCUUCACAUUCGUCGUUUUGUUAGUUUGUAAAAGUGUUUGUUUCGUCUUCAUUAAAAAGGAAGAUGUAUUGUUAUUA